Molecule: ribosomal RNA, 245 nt
Filed under: uncultured bacterium
Lineage: Bacteria
Description: partial 16S ribosomal RNA
Rfam family: Bacterial small subunit ribosomal RNA
Source: RNAcentral
UACGUAGGUGGCGAGCGUUGUCCGGAAUCACUGGGCGUAAAGGGCGCGUAGGCGGCGAUGCAAGUCGCAUGUGAAAAACCAGGGCUCAACUCUGGGGGGUCAUGCGAAACUGCAUUGCUCGAGUGCGGUAGAGGAAAGCGGAAUUCCUGGUGUAGCGGUAAAAUGCGUAGAGAUCAGGAGGAACACCGGUGGCGAAGGCGGCUUUCUGGGCCGCAACUGACGCUGAGGCGCGAAAGCGUGGGGAG